GUGCCAGCAGCCGCGGUAAGACAGAGGUCCCGAGCGUUAGGCGGAAUCACUGGGCUUAAAGCGUGUGUAGGCGGAGUGCUAAGUACCUUGUGAAAUCCCACGGCUCAACCGUGGAACUGCUCGGUAUACUGGUUCUCUUGAGCCACCUAGGGGCAACCGGAACAAACGGUGGAGCGGUGAAAUGCGUAGAUAUCGUUUGGAACGCCAAUGGUGAAAACAGGUUGCUGGGGGUGUGCUGACGCUGAGACACGGAAGCCAGGGGAGCAAACGGGAUUAGAUACCCCGGUAGUCC
Molecule: ribosomal RNA, 292 nt
Filed under: uncultured bacterium
Lineage: Bacteria
Description: partial 16S ribosomal RNA
Rfam family: Bacterial small subunit ribosomal RNA
Source: RNAcentral